CACCGCGGUUAUACGAGUAACUCACAUUAAUAUUCUUCGGCGUAAAGAGUGGUUAAAAAAACUUAAAACUAAAGUUAAGACUUUGUUAAAACUGUUAUACGUACUUACAAACAAUAAAAAUCACCAACGAAAGUGACUUUAUAACCUUUGAACCCACGACAAUUAAAACC
Molecule: ribosomal RNA, 170 nt
Filed under: Narcine lingula (Chinese numbfish)
Lineage: Eukaryota; Metazoa; Chordata; Chondrichthyes; Torpediniformes; Narcinidae
Description: partial 12S ribosomal RNA
Source: RNAcentral